This 1407-nucleotide ribosomal RNA is filed under the name Klebsiella pneumoniae. RNAcentral's name for it is "bacterial SSU rRNA". It matches the Rfam family "Bacterial small subunit ribosomal RNA". Lineage: Bacteria; Pseudomonadati; Pseudomonadota; Gammaproteobacteria; Enterobacterales; Enterobacteriaceae. The record is from RNAcentral.
UGCAGUCGAGCGGUAGCACAGAGAGCUUGCUCUCGGGUGACGAGCGGCGGACGGGUGAGUAAUGUCUGGGAAACUGCCUGAUGGAGGGGGAUAACUACUGGAAACGGUAGCUAAUACCGCAUAACGUCGCAAGACCAAAGUGGGGGACCUUCGGGCCUCAUGCCAUCAGAUGUGCCCAGAUGGGAUUAGCUAGUAGGUGGGGUAACGGCUCACCUAGGCGACGAUCCCUAGCUGGUCUGAGAGGAUGACCAGCCACACUGGAACUGAGACACGGUCCAGACUCCUACGGGAGGCAGCAGUGGGGAAUAUUGCACAAUGGGCGCAAGCCUGAUGCAGCCAUGCCGCGUGUGUGAAGAAGGCCUUCGGGUUGUAAAGCACUUUCAGCGGGGAGGAAGGCGAUAAGGUUAAUAACCUUGUCGAUUGACGUUACCCGCAGAAGAAGCACCGGCUAACUCCGUGCCAGCAGCCGCGGUAAUACGGAGGGUGCAAGCGUUAAUCGGAAUUACUGGGCGUAAAGCGCACGCAGGCGGUCUGUCAAGUCGGAUGUGAAAUCCCCGGGCUCAACCUGGGAACUGCAUUCGAAACUGGCAGGCUAGAGUCUUGUAGAGGGGGGUAGAAUUCCAGGUGUAGCGGUGAAAUGCGUAGAGAUCUGGAGGAAUACCGGUGGCGAAGGCGGCCCCCUGGACAAAGACUGACGCUCAGGUGCGAAAGCGUGGGGAGCAAACAGGAUUAGAUACCCUGGUAGUCCACGCCGUAAACGAUGUCGAUUUGGAGGUUGUGCCCUUGAGGCGUGGCUUCCGGAGCUAACGCGUUAAAUCGACCGCCUGGGGAGUACGGCCGCAAGGUUAAAACUCAAAUGAAUUGACGGGGGCCCGCACAAGCGGUGGAGCAUGUGGUUUAAUUCGAUGCAACGCGAAGAACCUUACCUGGUCUUGACAUCCACAGAACUUUCCAGAGAUGGAUUGGUGCCUUCGGGAACUGUGAGACAGGUGCUGCAUGGCUGUCGUCAGCUCGUGUUGUGAAAUGUUGGGUUAAGUCCCGCAACGAGCGCAACCCUUAUCCUUUGUUGCCAGCGGUUAGGCCGGGAACUCAAAGGAGACUGCCAGUGAUAAACUGGAGGAAGGUGGGGAUGACGUCAAGUCAUCAUGGCCCUUACGACCAGGGCUACACACGUGCUACAAUGGCAUAUACAAAGAGAAGCGACCUCGCGAGAGCAAGCGGACCUCAUAAAGUAUGUCGUAGUCCGGAUUGGAGUCUGCAACUCGACUCCAUGAAGUCGGAAUCGCUAGUAAUCGUAGAUCAGAAUGCUACGGUGAAUACGUUCCCGGGCCUUGUACACACCGCCCGUCACACCAUGGGAGUGGGUUGCAAAAGAAGUAGGUAGCUUAACCUUCGGGAGGGCGCUUA